AGGCCUUUUCUUCAGUGGCAUAUAGACUAAAACUGGAAUGAUACAUAGAAGAUUAGUGUGGCAUCCUCAAGGCUGACAAGCAGUUUUAGGAAAGCACAUAAGGGGAU
Lonchura striata (white-rumped munia) is the source of this 107-nucleotide small nuclear RNA. The record is from Ensembl. NCBI's taxonomy places the organism in Eukaryota, Metazoa, Chordata, Aves, Passeriformes, Estrildidae.